RNAcentral lists this ribosomal RNA (883 nucleotides) under uncultured bacterium. RNAcentral describes it as "bacterial SSU rRNA". It matches the Rfam family "Bacterial small subunit ribosomal RNA", at positions 47 to 928 of the family's 1533-position model. The record is from RNAcentral.
CCUUCCAUGCAGUUCGAACGGCAGCACGGGAAGCAAUCCUGGUUGGCGAGUGGCGAACGGGUGAGUAAUAUAUCGGAACGUGCCCAGUCGUGGGGGAUAACGCAGCGAAAGCUGUGCUAAUACCGCAUACGAUCUAUGGAUGAAAGCGGGGGAUCGCAAGACCUCGCGCGAUUGGAGCGGCCGAUAUCAGAUUAGGUAGUUGGUGGGGUAAAGGCUCACCAAGCCGACGAUCUGUAGCUGGUCUGAGAGGACGACCAGCCACACUGGAACUGAGACACGGUCCAGACUCCUACGGGAGGCAGCAGUGGGGAAUUUUGGACAAUGGGCGCAAGCCUGAUCCAGCAAUGCCGCGUGCAGGAUGAAGGCCUUCGGGUUGUAAACUGCUUUUGUACGGAACGAAAGGGCUCUGGUUAAUACCUGGGGCAUAUGACGGUACCGUAAGAAUAAGCACCGGCUAACUACGUGCCAGCAGCCGCGGUAAUACGUAGGGUGCGAGCGUUAAUCGGAAUUACUGGGCGUAAAGCGUGCGCAGGCGGUAAUGCAAGACAGAUGUGAAAUCCCCGGGCUUAACCUGGGAACUGCAUUUGUGACUGCAUUGCUGGAGUGCGGCAGAGGGGGAUGGAAUUCCGCGUGUAGCAGUGAAAUGCGUAGAUAUGCGGAGGAACACCGAUGGCGAAGGCAAUCCCCUGGGCCUGCACUGACGCUCAUGCACGAAAGCGUGGGGAGCAAACAGGAUUAGAUACCCUGGUAGUCCACGCCCUAAACGAUGUCAACUGGUUGUUGGGUCUUAACUGACUCAGUAACGAAGCUAACGCGUGAAGUUGACCGCCUGGGGAGUACGGCCCCAAGUUUAAACUCAAAGGAAUUGACGGGGACCGCACAA